Molecule: ribosomal RNA, 610 nt
Filed under: Stutzerimonas stutzeri
Lineage: Bacteria; Pseudomonadati; Pseudomonadota; Gammaproteobacteria; Pseudomonadales; Pseudomonadaceae
Description: bacterial SSU rRNA
Rfam family: Bacterial small subunit ribosomal RNA
Source: RNAcentral
UAUUUCGAAGGACGUAUAAUACCGCAUACGUCCUACGGGAGAAAGUGGGGGAUCUUCGGACCUCACGCUAUCAGAUGAGCCUAGGUCGGAUUAGCUAGUUGGUGAGGUAAAGGCUCACCAAGGCGACGAUCCGUAACUGGUCUGAGAGGAUGAUCAGUCACACUGGAACUGAGACACGGUCCAGACUCCUACGGGAGGCAGCAGUGGGGAAUAUUGGACAAUGGGCGAAAGCCUGAUCCAGCCAUGCCGCGUGUGUGAAGAAGGUCUUCGGAUUGUAAAGCACUUUAAGUUGGGAGGAAGGGCAGUAAGUUAAUACCUUGCUGUUUUGACGUUACCAACAGAAUAAGCACCGGCUAACUUCGUGCCAGCAGCCGCGGUAAUACGAAGGGUGCAAGCGUUAAUCGGAAUUACUGGGCGUAAAGCGCGCGUAGGUGGUUCGUUAAGUUGGAUGUGAAAGCCCCGGGCUCAACCUGGGAACUGCAUCCAAAACUGGCGAGCUAGAGUAUGGCAGAGGGUGGUGGAAUUUCCUGUGUAGCGGUGAAAUGCGUAGAUAUAGGAAGGAACACCAGUGGCGAAUGCAACACCCUGGGCUAAUACUGAACUGAGUGCG